Rattus rattus (black rat) is the source of this 277-nucleotide long non-coding RNA. RefSeq lists it as uncharacterized. NCBI's taxonomy places the organism in Eukaryota, Metazoa, Chordata, Mammalia, Rodentia, Muridae. The record is from RefSeq and is a predicted model, not a curated record. The transcript has 2 exons.
GCGGACCCGCAGGCCAUAGCCGGGGGCGGGGAGAAAUGGCGUAGAAGGGGCGUGUUUACAGGAACCCGCACAUGGGACACUCUGUUCUACCCAGGAAACUGAAGCUCAGAGAUUUUGGGCCCCUAACCCAGAACACACAGCCAGGUGAAAGAGCAGGGAUUCUGCUCAAGACUAAAUCUGAGGUGGUCUGAUGGAGCAUACAAAAUCUCAACCCUACAUAUGCUCUUCUGAAAACCAAAUGAAACAAACAGUACAAAAACACCAGGCAUGAACAUGA